UUCGAUUAGGAUUUGUUUAGGAUUUGACUAGGAUUUAUUUAAAAUUUGGUUAGGAUUUUUAAAGGAUUUGAUUAGGAUUUGAUUAAAAUUUAUUUAGGAUUUGACUAGGAUUUAUUUAAAAUUUGGUUAGAAUUUUUUAAGAAUUUGAUUAGGAUUUGAUUAAAAUUUAUUUAGGAUUUGACUAAGAUUUGUUUAGGAUUUGAUGAAGAUUUGAUUAGGAUUUAUUUAGGAUUUGACUAGAAUAUAUUUAGAAUUUGAUUAGAAUUUGGUUAAGGUUUGUUUAGGGUUUGAUCUAGAAUUUCACCAAUUAUAAAUUCAACCUUUCUAUUUAAAAUUUGCUCCUCCAAUACCUUCUUCAAAUCUGUAGCAACUUCUAUAUCU
RNAcentral lists this long non-coding RNA (381 nucleotides) under Physcomitrium patens. RNAcentral describes it as "long non-coding RNA (PPAT_LNC004878)". The record is from RNAcentral. Lineage: Eukaryota; Viridiplantae; Streptophyta; Bryopsida; Funariales; Funariaceae.